Long non-coding RNA from Rhinichthys klamathensis goyatoka, 369 nucleotides. RefSeq lists it as uncharacterized. The transcript has 2 exons. The record is from RefSeq and is a predicted model, not a curated record. NCBI's taxonomy places the organism in Eukaryota, Metazoa, Chordata, Actinopteri, Cypriniformes, Leuciscidae.
GAGUAGCUUGCGAUUAAAAGUACUUUAUUAGCUCAAAUACACCAAAGAAGAGGCUAUCACUUAUUAACAAAUACACAGAAGACAGGAAACACAAAAGAAAAGAAAAUGGUAAGAUUAGACAAAGAGGAACAGUCAGAUAAAGUCCAUGUACACGUGUGUAACGGAAGAGGCACGUCCUUCGGUUUCGACAUUCCUUCCCGAUAGGAUUUGUGUGUGUGUGUGUGUGUUGUUUUUUGGGUGAAUACAGGAGGAAAGAAUGUCAGCUUGUGCACUUGUAUAAAAUGUUACCGUUUUUCACAUGCCUGGCAUUGCCAUGUUUUUUCCAGUGAUACUGUAAGAGAGAAAGCUAGUCACUUGCUUGUUUUUUUA